This is a long non-coding RNA of Ictalurus punctatus (channel catfish), 2156 nucleotides long. RefSeq lists it as uncharacterized. NCBI's taxonomy places the organism in Eukaryota, Metazoa, Chordata, Actinopteri, Siluriformes, Ictaluridae. The record is from RefSeq and is a predicted model, not a curated record. The transcript is spliced from 3 exons.
GAACCUGUCGUAGAUGUCAACGCUGAGGCGACGACGCGUCUCUUUGAAUUCGGCAGAAACGUUGGCUGUCCACUCGGCAGCGUGCGCUCGGAACUCGCCCACCUGACGAUGCCCUUUCCGAAUAUGGUCCCCAGCUGGUCGCCCACUCCCGCCAGCAGGAAGCCGAACAGAGGGAUUCCCAGCAGCGCGUACACUAUGCAGAAUAUUCUGCCUCCUUCCGUAUGAGGGGAAAUGUUCCCGAAGCCUGCAGGAGAGAGAGAGGAUGCCGAAACAGAGUGCCAACAUCCACGCAACACUACAGGAAUACCAUUUGAAGUAUGCAGUAUGUAUUCUGUAUCCUGUAAUAAUCAUAUAACUUCGAAAACACCGUAAAAUGUCUGAGAUCUGAAAUCGUCACGCAAUGGAUGGAUCUUGCAAUGCUCUUUCUUUGUUUUAAAAGGAAAUUCUUAUCAACCGAGUGUCGAAGAUGCAGCGCGUGACAGUUUAUAGUCAAUGUUAAAGUGUGUACAUGUUCAGUGUAUAUAUUCAGCACUUCUACCAGGGAAAGAACGCGUCUGCGGAACACUGGAGUCUGAACACCCAGAACUUUCCCAAGAUAAAUAUUGACAUAUCUUUUGACCUUAACUCUGAAUACUCUCUACACAUCGACUCAUUUCUCAACCCCCAACACACACACACACACACACUUUUUUUCCCCCCCUUCUCUAUACAUUUCACACAGAGCUAAAAGAACUGUUUGGGUUCCUUCGCUUUCAUCGUCGCCGCGAUAUUAAUGUCGGUUCGUGCGAUUCAGAUCGGCUGUCGUUCAGAUAAGACGAAUAGUAACGCCCCACCUCACCUGUCUUUUUUUUUUCAAAAAAUGCCGGCUUCUAUAUAUAUUUAAAGAGGAUGAACGGUGGCAGAUUAAAAAGACAGUGAGGUUAAGUGGGUGAGUACGACAGGAUAACAAAGACUGGAAGGAGAAAUAGGAGAAAAUCAGAGCAGCUAAUGGAGCAGAAACGGAAGCCGGAUUAAAUAAAAUGUGAGAUGGAGCGAGCAGUCGAAAGACGUGCACGGGUGAGAUGUCAGGAAUAAUAGCUUCGGAGAAGAGCUGAGAAUAGGCGCCAGAUGAUGGGACGCUAUUACAGAAGUCCAUGUGAUUCACUACAGAAGUGCUUUAAGCCAGCCCUUUAGGAGGACACUCAUACUACAGUCUGUCCCUGGUGUGCAAGCAGAAAAGAUAAGGUGAGAUAAAGAUUUUAUACCAUAUCUCUGUUUGAUUCUAGUAUAUCUACAAUAAAACGUCGCCGCAAAUGCUUUGAGAAAAUCUGACUUAACUGUUGUUGUUUUUUUUUGUUUUUCCUAGUGUAGAACUGUAAUAUAACAUACAAGUGCCUCGAGCGGUUUCUUCGACCGAGCAGAUUUCCCUGACCUCAAAAAGCACCGCUUGCAAUUAAUGUUUCCCUUUCACCCUCGCCUGUACCAAUCAGCCCGCCUUCAACUUCCCUCUCCACCACUUAACUCGAGCAUUCGCUCGUCAUUGUAUAAAUCGGCUGAUUGCAAUUACCGCCUCUCUUUCUCUCUCUCUCUCUCUGUCUAAUAUCCUUCUGGAGCAAAAUGAACAAGACGUUCCACGUCAUGUAAAUGAACUGAGUGAAAGAGAUGACGAUGGGGGAUCAUGGGAUAAAACUCUGCAGCAUACAGUACAGCUGUCGUUGGCAUAUGCAAAUAUUUCCCUCGCUCUCUCGCUCAAACUCGAACACAGAGUCCGUCCAUCUUCUGCUCACUGUUUGACGCGCCGUCAGGGGAUUAUUUGACAGUCGCUAAACGAAUCCAUGCUCUGUUUUUCCUCAUUCUGACUCUGAUAAUGUCCAACUACAUCCAUCCAUCCAUCCAUCCACGGUCACGGGGAACCUGGAGCCUAUCCCAGGGAGCAUCGGGCACAAGGCGGGGUACAGAGUGCCAGUCCAUCGCAGGGCACAAUCACAUACACACUCACACACCCAACUACAAUAUCAUUCGCAUUUCUGACACAGCUAUCAGUUUUAGCUUCUUUUAUACCACUCUGGAUUCUGAUUGGUCAGAAGGUGUCGAUUCAUUUGCUAUGUCCUAUUAAUAAUAAUAAUAAUAAUAAUAAUAAUAAUAAUAAUAAUAAUAAUAGGGUUUAUAAAACGUAA